UUUAGAGGAAGUAAAAGUCGUAACAAGGUUUCCGUAGGUGAACCUGCGGAAGGAUCAUUAUUGAAUAAACCUGAUGGGUUGUUGCUGGCUCUCUUGGGAGCAUGUGCACACCUUGUCAUCUUUAUAUUUCCACCUGUGCACCUUUUGUAGACCUCCCCAGGUCUAUGUUGCUUCAUUUACCCCCAAUGUAUGUUAAUAGAAUGUUGUGUCUAUAAAAUCUAUACAACUUUCAGCAACGGAUCUCUUGGCUCUCGCAUCGAUGAAGAACGCAGCGAAAUGCGAUAAGUAAUGUGAAUUGCAGAAUUCAGUGAAUCAUCGAAUCUUUGAACGCACCUUGCGCUCCUUGGUAUUCCGAGGAGCAUGCCUGUUUGAGUGUCAUUAAUAUAUAUCAACCCACUCUUGUUGAGUGGUUUGGAUGUGGAGGGUUUUGCUGGCUGCUUAAAAGGUGCCAGCUCCUCUGAAAUGCAUUAGUGGAACAACCUGUCCAUUCAUUGGUGUGAUAACUAUCUACGCUGUUGAAUGUGAGGCAGUUCAGCUAUCUAACAGUCCUUGGACAAACUUAUCAUUUAAUGUGACCUCAAAUCAGGUAGGACUACCCGCUGAACUUAAGCAUAUCAAUAAGCGGAGGAAAAGAAACUAACAAGGAUUCCCCUAGUAACUGCGAGUGAAGCGGGAAAAGCUCAAAUUUAAAAUCUGGCGGUCUUUUGGCUGUCCGAGUUGUAAUCUAGAGAAGUGUUAUCCGCG
This 744-nucleotide ribosomal RNA is filed under the name Cortinarius armillatus var. subcroceofulvus. RNAcentral's name for it is "eukaryotic LSU rRNA". The stretch from base 225 to 378 matches the Rfam family "5.8S ribosomal RNA". The record is from RNAcentral. Lineage: Eukaryota; Fungi; Basidiomycota; Agaricomycetes; Agaricales; Cortinariaceae.